GAUUAACGCUGGCGGCGUGCAUAACACAUGCCAGUCGAACGAUGAAACUUUAAUGAACCCUUCGGGGAGAAUUAAAGCGGCUUAGUGGCGAACGGGUGAGUAACGCGUGAGUAACCUGCCUUACACAAGGGGAUAGCCUUUGGAAACGAAGAAUAAUACCCUAUAAAACCAUAAAAGCACAUGCAAUUAUGGUCAAAGUGAUAGCGGUGUAAGAUGGACUUGCGUCUGAUUAGCUAGUUGGUGAGAUAAAAGCCCACCAAGGCAACGAUCAGUAGCCGGCUUGAGAGAGUGUACGGCCACAUUGGGACUGAGACACGGCCCAGACUCCUACGGGAGGCAGCAGUGGGGAAUUUUGCACAAUGGGGGAAACCCUGAUGCAGCGACGCCGCGUGAUUUAGAAGGCCUUCGGGUUGUAAAAAUCUUUUGUAUAGGAAGAAAAUGACAGUACUAUACGAAUAAGGGCCGGCUAAUUACGUG
RNAcentral lists this ribosomal RNA (477 nucleotides) under uncultured bacterium. Its description in RNAcentral is "partial 16S ribosomal RNA". It matches the Rfam family "Bacterial small subunit ribosomal RNA", at positions 28 to 507 of the family's 1533-position model. The record is from RNAcentral.